GGCCCGUUCGUCUACCGGUUAGGACUCCUGGUUUUCAACCAGGCAAAAGGGGUUCGACUCCCCUACGGGCUGCCA
Molecule: transfer RNA, 75 nt
Filed under: Tabrizicola sp.
Lineage: Bacteria; Pseudomonadati; Pseudomonadota; Alphaproteobacteria; Rhodobacterales; Paracoccaceae
Description: tRNA-Glu
Rfam family: tRNA
About the family: Transfer RNA (tRNA) molecules are approximately 80 nucleotides in length.
Source: RNAcentral